RNAcentral lists this ribosomal RNA (253 nucleotides) under uncultured bacterium. RNAcentral's name for it is "partial 16S ribosomal RNA". It matches the Rfam family "Bacterial small subunit ribosomal RNA", at positions 524 to 776 of the family's 1533-position model. The record is from RNAcentral.
UACGUAGGGUGCGAGCGUUGUCCGGAAUUAUUGGGCGUAAAGAGCUUGUAGGCGGUUUGUCGCGUCUGCUGUGAAAAUCCGGGGCUCAACUCCGGACUUGCAGUGGGUACGGGCAGGCUAGAGUGUGGUAGGGGAGACUGGAAUUCCUGGUGUAGCGGUGAAAUGCGUAGAUAUCUGGAGGAACACCGGUGGCGAAGGCGGCGUCCUGGACCAACACUGACACUGAGGAGCGAAAGCCAGGGGAGCAAACGGG